RNAcentral lists this ribosomal RNA (654 nucleotides) under Entrophospora claroidea. RNAcentral describes it as "partial 28S large subunit ribosomal RNA". It matches the Rfam family "Eukaryotic large subunit ribosomal RNA", at positions 143 to 648 of the family's 3401-position model. The record is from RNAcentral. Lineage: Eukaryota; Fungi; Glomeromycota; Glomeromycetes; Entrophosporales; Entrophosporaceae.
AUGUAAUUUGAAGAAGCGUUUUCUUGGGCUCGCGGCCGGUAGAAGUUCUUUGGAACAGGACAUCAUAGAGGGUGACAAUCCCGUCUGCGACCGGUCGUGCGUUCAUCUACGAUACGCUUUCAAAGAGUCGAGUUGUUUGGGAUUGCAGCUCCAAAUGGGUGGUAAACAUCACCUAAGGCUAAAUAUUGGCGAGAGACCGAUAGCGAACAAGUACCGUGAGGGAAAGAUGAAAAGAACUUUGAAAAGAGAGUUAAACAGUACGUGAAAUUGUUGAAAGGGAAACGAUUGAAGUCAGUCGUGCUGGCGCGAAAUCAACCCUCUCGUCGAGAGGUCACAUGGCGUGGCGAGCCUCAAAACCGUCACGAAGCGUGAACUCUUGGCGAAAAGGAGCACUUUCGUGUCCGCUGGUUAACAUCAAUUUCGAACGUCAUAAAAAGGCUGGAGGGAUGUGGCUCCUUCGGGAGUGUUAUAACCUUUAGCGGAAUGUGGUGGUCGGGAUUGAGGAUUGCAACGAAUACCUUUAGGGCUGUUCCACCUGGCUUCUCUUUGGUAUCCUGGUGACGACAGCUUGCUGACGUCGUUAGGAUUCGCCUUUGAACAGGCUAGAGUGUGAGCAAAUUCGUUAAGGAUGUUGACGUAAUGGCUUUAAACGAC